CUAACCCUCGAGCUAUUUUUCCAGUCUCGCAGUGACGUCACGCGCCCUAUCCCAGCUCACUCUGUGAGCGCGUGGUCCUGGUCGCGAGCACAUGGAAGUGAGCUCGAGUUGAGACGCGCCUCCGACCAUCACCAUCGUGCAAACAUUAAUAAAAAAACCCGGAAUAUGACCACAAAGAUGGAGCAUCAGGAGCUGAGACACAGCAGCGGGGUUUUAAACUAAAUCUUCCUCUAAGAUGCACGAGCAGGCGGCUGCUGCUGCUGCAGGGGCCGCAGAAGCUCACCACUGUGGAUUCAAUUAACGCACAAUUGAGGAUUUUGGACUAAAUAGGAAAGAUGCAAAGAUGGAAGCAGGCAGUGUUGGAUUCAGUUUCACAGCAUCUUUUAGAAGCAUACGUGCACAAAUGAGUUUUAAUAGUACCUACUUCCCCUUUCUUUGACAGGACACAGAUACACCCCUAACUGGGCCCCCCUGUGGUUCAUUGAGUUUGGGAAGUACCUAGUAGUACAACUGCCACGUUGCUCUUAAAGGGCCAGCAGAGUGUUUUAUUUACAUGAAACCAGAGGUCAUGUUGUUGAACGUUUGAAACUUUUUAGCUUACAUUUAGGUUUGCUGUGUAUAAUUGAUGUGGUCAUGAGGACUUUGAUAUUUGAGACCUGGAAAUCAAGACACGACUAUAUAUGGACGCAAGGAGAAAAGGGGAGGGAUUUGCUUUGCAGCCAAUCCUAAACCAAUGUACUUUAAAAAUUUUUUUCCUAUUUUCAGCAUUUUUGUAGCUCAUUUUAGGCACUUGUUACUGUUAAAUGUUGGAAAGAGGUGCACACUUUUCUGAAUAAAAUUGCCAGUAUAGCAGCAUCGUUAUUGCUUUUUUUAUGUGUGGUAUCCAGUUAAUCAAGGAAGCCCGUGAAGCCACCUGAAGACCAGUUUGCGCUGCGUACUGUGCCAGGGGAAAACCUUUCACUCUACUUAUGAGCCACUUGUACUUUUUAACAGAUCAUUUUACACCCACAAGACACCUUACUGCAGAAUUUCAGUGUUGAUGUUUUUACAUGUGAUUAACAGCUGAGUCAGCGGUACCAAUUCCCAUCAACUAAGUGUCUGACUAGAUGUCUGAUGAGAUAUUUCAAAAUAAAUGCGAAACAUGAUAAAUUUAGGGGAAAAGUGAGUGAAACAGAGCAUGUACACCAUCGAAAAUGUUGAGGAAAAACAUGCAGUAAAGCUGUUAGACCCUGAUAGAGGUUGCAUGUUACGACUGUUGUUGACAGCAUCGACUGCCUUAUUGGUUUAUGUCUUACACAUCAGUGUCUGGGUUUAGUGCACCACAAACCAAAAGUAGGUUAUUUUCUCAUGUCUUGAAUCCUGAAAACACCCCAGUUAUGUAAUCUACACAUUUGCCCAAACAUUUCUGAGAAUGUUUAAAAUGAAACCGAAGGUAAAAGAAUGAAAAACCGUAAGUUUGAGAACCGUUAAGCCGAAAUAGUUAUGCACUGUUCUUCUGCACAACAGCGAAUAAAUAACGACACAAAAUCUUUCACUCUCAGUUUCAAUCUUAAAAUUUAAUUGUCACGUUGACUUCAGUGGAUUAUGUGCCUGAAGCGGUCUGUUUACAGGUGGAGGUAUGAGGGCUGCCUGGACAGCAGCUCCCCCUUGUGUGCUGUACAGGAAUGUGCUGUCAGGCGUCACAACCCACACAUAGCUGCUGCAGGACUUCAGAACUGGCCCAUCCCUAUUGAAGAAAAGCAUCCCCACAUGAUGAUGCUGCCACCUCCAUCUGUGACCAUGGGGACGAUGUGUUCAGAGUAGUGCAGAGUUUUAGUCACAUGUGAGCUGUCAUAACCCCCCGAAGCAAAGAAACUGCAGAUUAAAAAGAGUCCCGACUUGUUGCAGGAAAGGCCUGUUGAGUGGCAGAAUGACUUAUGAAGGAAUCCGUAAAAACUGACUGGAAGAAAACCGCUCCUCUAAGUACUACUCCUGAUUGCUGCCUGAUGAGCUCCAGCUGCAACCAAUGCAGCUGUCACACCCUGGAGAGAGAGAAGAUGGAUGGAGCUCAGAUUCACCAUGAAGUGGAUAAUAAGGAGACUGCAGAACGUCUUUCUCUCUGACUGAUCAAGCAACUGAUCAUUCUAGCUGAAUGAUGGACUCUGACCUGAGCCUCCAGAAACAUGUUAAAAUGGUGGAGAUGACGGCUGACUUCAGAGAACGUCAUCAACUCUGCUUUCUCGUCCUGAACAACUCUGAAGAUUUUUUCUAGUUACUUUGGAACCAUCUUAUCUCUGUGGUCCUCACACAUUGACACUAUUCAGAAGAAAUCCCAGCAGAGACGGUUACAAGAAGUACAACCUACUGAAGGAGCUGCUGGACUUCUUCUUUUUCCUGUGCACAUCCAUCACUGAGUGGUUUGGCUCAUCCACAAACAGGACAGGACCAGAGCGCAUAAUUGGGAGAGGAUCAUCAGUGCUGGUAUCCCUUUAAUGGUAUCUAAAGGUGGUGGACUGGGAUACCUUCUAAAAUAUAUACAAAAUCUUUGGUUUUUGUGACAUGUAAGUUUUAGGUUUUGCAAUAAAAUCUUUCACCACCUAACCAAGUAA
Long non-coding RNA from Gambusia affinis (western mosquitofish), 2588 nucleotides. RefSeq lists it as uncharacterized. NCBI's taxonomy places the organism in Eukaryota, Metazoa, Chordata, Actinopteri, Cyprinodontiformes, Poeciliidae. The record is from RefSeq and is a predicted model, not a curated record. The transcript is spliced from 9 exons.